RNAcentral lists this ribosomal RNA (422 nucleotides) under uncultured bacterium. RNAcentral describes it as "bacterial SSU rRNA". It matches the Rfam family "Bacterial small subunit ribosomal RNA", at positions 355 to 774 of the family's 1533-position model. The record is from RNAcentral.
UGAGGAAUAUUGGUCAAUGGACGGAAGUCUGAACCAGCCAUGCCGCGUGAAGGAUGAAGGCGUUCUGCGUUGUAAACUUCUUUUAUCUGGGAAGAAACCACAGAUUUCUAUUUGUGUUGACGGUACCAGAAGAAUAAGCACCGGCUAACUCCGUGCCAGCAGCCGCGGUAAUACGGAGGGUGCGAGCGUUAUCCGGAUUUACUGGGUUUAAAGGGUGCGUAGGCGGGCUAUUAAGUCAGAGGUGAAAUCUCCGGGCUCAACCUGGAAACUGCCUUUGAUACUAUUAGCCUUGAAUUAUGUUGAGGUUGGCGGAAUAUAACAUGUAGCGGUGAAAUGCUUAGAUAUGUUAUGGAACACCGAUUGCGAAGGCAGCUGGCUAAACACAUAUUGACGCUGAUGCACGAAAGCGUGGGUAGCGAACA